This 399-nucleotide ribosomal RNA is filed under the name uncultured bacterium. Its description in RNAcentral is "bacterial SSU rRNA". It matches the Rfam family "Bacterial small subunit ribosomal RNA", at positions 30 to 430 of the family's 1533-position model. The record is from RNAcentral.
AUUGAACGCUGGCGGCAUGCCUUACACAUGCAAGUCGAACGGCAGCACGGGAGCAAUCCUGGUGGCGAGUGGCGAACGGGUGAGUAAUAUAUCGGAACGUGCCCGGUCGUGGGGAUAACGUAGCGAAAGCUACGCUAAUACCGCAUACGAUCUACGGAUGAAAGCGGGGGAUCGCAAGACCUCGCGCGAUUGGAGCGGCCGAUAUCAGAUUAGGUAGUUGGUGAGGUAAAGGCUCACCAAGCCGACGAUCUGUAGCUGGUCUGAGAGGACGACCAGCCACACUGGGACUGAGACACGGCCCAGACUCCUACGGGAGGCAGCAGUGGGGAAUUUUGGACAAUGGGCGGCAAGCCUGAUCCAGCAAUGCCGCGUGCAGGAUGAAGGCCUUCGGUUGGUAAC